RNAcentral lists this ribosomal RNA (429 nucleotides) under Chloroflexota bacterium. Its description in RNAcentral is "Chloroflexi bacterium partial 16S ribosomal RNA". It matches the Rfam family "Bacterial small subunit ribosomal RNA", at positions 355 to 776 of the family's 1533-position model. The record is from RNAcentral. Lineage: Bacteria; Bacillati; Chloroflexota.
UGGGGAAUAUUGCACAAUGGGCGCAAGCCUGAUGCAGCCAUGCCGCGUGUGUGAAGAAGGCCUUCGGGUUGUAAAGCACUUUCAGCGGGGAGGAAGGCGUUAAGGUUAAUAACCUUGGCGAUUGACGUUACCCGCAGAAGAAGCACCGGCUAACUCCGUGCCAGCAGCCGCGGUAAUACGGAGGGUGCAAGCGUUAAUCGGAAUUACUGGGCGUAAAGCGCACGCAGGCGGUUGAUUGAGUCAGAUGUGAAAUCCCCGGGCUUAACCCGGGAAUUGCAUCUGAUACUGGUCAGCUAGAGUCUUGUAGAGGGGGGUAGAAUUCCAUGUGUAGCGGUGAAAUGCGUAGAGAUGUGGAGGAAUACUGGUGGCGAAGGCGGCACCCUGGACAAAGACUGACGCUCAGGUGCGAAAGCGUGGGGAGCAAACAGG